This is a non-coding RNA of Sarcophilus harrisii (Tasmanian devil), 45 nucleotides long. NCBI's taxonomy places the organism in Eukaryota, Metazoa, Chordata, Mammalia, Dasyuromorphia, Dasyuridae. The record is from Rfam.
UCCCAGGCUUUUCAAAAGCCACCUACUGUAUAAUAAAAAAAUUAU